RNAcentral lists this ribosomal RNA (538 nucleotides) under uncultured Fragilariaceae. RNAcentral describes it as "SSU rRNA". It matches the Rfam family "Eukaryotic small subunit ribosomal RNA", at positions 15 to 565 of the family's 1831-position model. The record is from RNAcentral. Lineage: Eukaryota; Bacillariophyta; Fragilariophyceae; Fragilariales; Fragilariaceae.
UGCCAGUAGUCAUAUGCUUGUCUCAAAGAUUAAGCCAUGCAUGUCUAAGUAUAAAUACUUUUACUUUGAAACUGCGAACGGCUCAUUAUAUAAGUUUUGAUUUAUUUGAUAGUCCCUUACUACUUGGAUAACCGUAGUAAUUCUAGAGCUAAUACAUGCGUCAAUACCCUUCUGGGGUAGUAUUUAUUAGAAAGAAACCAACCCCUUCGGGGUGAUGUGGUGAAUCAUAAUAAGCUUGCGGAUCGCACGGCUUUUGCUGGCGAUGGAUCAUUCAAGAUUCUUCCCUAUCAGCUUUGGAUGGUAGGGUAUUGGCCUACCAUGGCUUUAACGGGUAACGGGAAAUUAGGGUUUGAUUCCGGAGAGGGGGCAUGAGGGAUGGCCACCACAUCCAAGGAAGGCAGCAGGCGCGUAAAUUACCCAAUCCUGACACAGGGAGGUAGUGACAAUAAAUAACAAUGCCGGGCCUUCUUAGGUCUGGCAAUUGGAAUGAGAACAAUUUAAACCCCUUAUCGAGGAUCAAUUGGAGGGCAAGUCUGGU